GAUCAUGGCUCAGGAUGAACGCUAGCUACAGGCUUAACACAUGCAAGUCGGAGGGGGCAGCAUGGUCUUAGCUUGCUAAGGCCGAUGGCGACCGGCGCACGGGUGAGUAACACGUAUCCAACCUGCCGUCUACUCUUGGACAGCCUUCUGAAAGGAAGAUUAAUACAAGACGGCAUCAUGAGUUCACAUGUUCACAUGAUUAAAGGGUAUUCCGGUAGACGAUGGGGA
RNAcentral lists this ribosomal RNA (228 nucleotides) under uncultured bacterium. Its description in RNAcentral is "partial 16S ribosomal RNA". It matches the Rfam family "Bacterial small subunit ribosomal RNA", at positions 15 to 231 of the family's 1533-position model. The record is from RNAcentral.